Molecule: transfer RNA, 89 nt
Filed under: Hydrogenothermaceae bacterium
Lineage: Bacteria; Pseudomonadati; Aquificota; Aquificia; Aquificales; Hydrogenothermaceae
Description: tRNA-Leu
Rfam family: tRNA
About the family: Transfer RNA (tRNA) molecules are approximately 80 nucleotides in length.
Source: RNAcentral
GCCCAGGUGGCGGAAUCGGCAGACGCGCUGUCUUGAGGGGACAGUGCCCUUAAGCGGGCGUGUGGGUUCGACUCCCACCCUGGGCACCA